GUAAAUGAACAAACUAGGAAAAACACGAUAAUGAUUUGCAAAUCAACUUCAAUGGCGCAUCAUUCGCAAAAAAAUGCCGAUAUUCGGAUACCCACAGCAACUAUGUUACCCAAAAAAAGUAACUUAUAAAAGCUCGUUUCAAAAAAUGACGCUAGAAUUGACCGAACAAAACAUAAACACUGACGCAUGGAUAAAAACAAACUCCGAAGAUUGGCUCCGUUGUUUCUACUAGAUAUUCACUAUUUUCGGGCUUUAAAACUGAAUCAAGAAACCAUCGGUGCCUGGAUUGUACUUUUAACGACCAUGUCUGAAGACCGAGGACCAAUCGCCAAAAAUAAGUCUAAUGUUAGCCAUCGGAUUUUAGAAAUGGAUUCUGUUCUUGUUAGGAAGGAUACAAGAGCUGUGGAAGAUGUUCGCUACCGCUGGAAGUAUAUCAGGAAAAAGACAGCUAGCGGAAGCUUUCCUGUUCAUCAACAAUAUGAGCAUAACUCUAAAAUUACACUUAUUGAGUCCAUAAUUUUGCUCUGCAGCCAUCGAAGGAAGAUCCGACCCAUUUAGCUGAGAAAGUAUAGCAAAAACUCAGUAGAAAUUUUAAGGAGUCCCUUCCUUGUUGGA
Uranotaenia lowii is the source of this 615-nucleotide long non-coding RNA. RefSeq lists it as uncharacterized. The transcript is spliced from 3 exons. NCBI's taxonomy places the organism in Eukaryota, Metazoa, Arthropoda, Insecta, Diptera, Culicidae. The record is from RefSeq and is a predicted model, not a curated record.